CUUGCUUCUCUUGAGAGCGGCGGACGGGUGAGUAAUGCCUAGGAAUCUGCCUGGUAGUGGGGGAUAACGUUCGGAAACGGACGCUAAUACCGCAUACGUCCUACGGGAGAAAGCAGGGGACCUUCGGGCCUUGCGCUAUCAGAUGAGCCUAGGUCGGAUUAGCUAGUUGGUGGGGUAAUGGCUCACCAAGGCGACGAUCCGUAACUGGUCUGAGAGGAUGAUCAGUCACACUGGAACUGAGACACGGUCCAGACUCCUACGGGAGGCAGCAGUGGGGAAUAUUGGACAAUGGGCGAAAGCCUGAUCCAGCCAUGCCGCGUGUGUGAAGAAGGUCUUCGGAUUGUAAAGCACUUUAAGUUGGGAGGAAGGGUUGUAGAUUAAUACUCUGCAAUUUUGACGUUACCGACAGAAUAAGCACCGGCUAACUCUGUGCCAGCAGCCGCGGUAAUACAGAGGGUGCAAGCGUUAAUCGGAAUUACUGGGCGUAAAGCGCGCGUAGGUGGUUUGUUAAGUUGGAUGUGAAAUCCCCGGGCUCAACCUGGGAACUGCAUUCAAAACUGACUGACUAGAGUAUGGUAGAGGGUGGUGGAAUUUCCUGUGUAGCGGUGAAAUGCGUAGAUAUAGGAAGGAACACCAGUGGCGA
RNAcentral lists this ribosomal RNA (643 nucleotides) under uncultured bacterium. RNAcentral's name for it is "bacterial SSU rRNA". It matches the Rfam family "Bacterial small subunit ribosomal RNA", at positions 79 to 718 of the family's 1533-position model. The record is from RNAcentral.